This 327-nucleotide ribosomal RNA is filed under the name uncultured eukaryote. RNAcentral describes it as "partial 18S ribosomal RNA". It matches the Rfam family "Eukaryotic small subunit ribosomal RNA", at positions 1470 to 1796 of the family's 1831-position model. The record is from RNAcentral.
CCCUUAGAUGUUCUGGGCCGCACGCGCGCUACACUGACGAAUGCAACGAGCUUAUAACCUUGGCCGAAAGGUCUGGGUAAUCUCCAAAUUUCGUCGUGAUGGGGAUAGAUUAUUGCAAUUAUUAAUCUUCAACGAGGAAUGCCUAGUAAGCGCAAGUCAUCAGCUCGCGUUGAUUACGUCCCUGCCCUUUGUACACACCGCCCGUCGCUCCUACCGAUUGAAUGGUCCGGUGAAGCGUUCGGACCGUGGCCUUUGGACGGUUCGCCGUCUGUUGGCUGCGGGAAGUUCGUUAAACCUUAUCAUUUAGAGGAAGGAGAAGUCGUAACA